RNAcentral lists this ribosomal RNA (245 nucleotides) under Clostridioides difficile. Its description in RNAcentral is "partial 16S ribosomal RNA". It matches the Rfam family "Bacterial small subunit ribosomal RNA", at positions 325 to 587 of the family's 1533-position model. Lineage: Bacteria; Bacillati; Bacillota; Clostridia; Peptostreptococcales; Peptostreptococcaceae. The record is from RNAcentral.
CACGGUCCAAACUCCUACGGGAGGCAGCAGUGGGGAAUAUUGCACAAUGGGCGAAAGCCUGAUGCAGCAACGCCGCGUGGGUGAUGAAGGCCUUCGGGUCGUAAAACUCUGUCCUCAAGGAAGAUAAGGACGGUACUUGAGGAGGAAGCCCCGGCUAACUACGUGCCAGCAGCCGCGGUAAUACGUAGGGGGCUAGCGUUAUCCGGAUUUACUGGGCGUAAAGGGUGCGUAGGCGGUCUUUCAAG